Molecule: unclassified non-coding RNA, 593 nt
Filed under: Hevea brasiliensis (rubber tree)
Lineage: Eukaryota; Viridiplantae; Streptophyta; Magnoliopsida; Malpighiales; Euphorbiaceae
Source: RNAcentral
CGCGAAUCUUAUGAUUAGUUGGAAUGUGUCCAUGUAUACACCAUGUAAUAGUUUUGUAUUUAUGAUACAUGUAAAUGCAUGCAUUCUUUUCUCCUUCUAUUAUGGCAUAUAUGAAGGGUAUCAAAUAGUUGGGACCAAUGGUUUUGAUUUAUUGUUUUGUUGGAUUUGGUGCCACAAAUGAUCACUGGCUGAUGAAACUUUCUGAAAGGCUUUUAAGUUGACCACCCUGAGAAUAUGGUCUGGAUUCAAUUUAAGAGAAUACUAAAUUUUAAAGUGGAGUCAGGAGGGUAGAUAUUGCUUAACAAGGCUUGUCUUACCAUAGUUAUUUGUUUGAUGUUUAUGCCAUUAGAUAUAUUUGCAUGAUUUGGAUUCAAAGUGACAAGGGCAUAUUAGGGGCUUAUCUGAAGUAGCGGACUUCAUUGACUUCCAUUGCUUUAGAUUUAGUCUCUAUGGGAGAGUUGUUAUCUUUUAUAACUAUUAUUGCCUAGUCACUGAAGCACCAUAAAGAAGCCUAAAAAGGAAUGGAUGUUGUUGAAUGUUUGAAUGCUUAUAAUCCAAAGUUGUCAUAGCAUUUUUUAUUACUUCGAAAAGUG